This is a long non-coding RNA of Felis catus (domestic cat), 1611 nucleotides long. RefSeq lists it as uncharacterized. The record is from RefSeq and is a predicted model, not a curated record. Lineage: Eukaryota; Metazoa; Chordata; Mammalia; Carnivora; Felidae. The transcript has 3 exons.
AAUAGAUAAACAUUAAAAAAAAAAAAAAGGAAACAAUUUUUUGGUCUGGCUAGCUUUCAAAGCCUUCCUUGUCUUUGCAGCUCUAACCGACUUGCACAUAUUUUGUGCUUCAAACCAGGCUACUUGCAGCCCUCUGAACGCCCGUCUCGCAUUCUGCCUUUGGCUCAAACUUCCCCUGGAGCAUCUUCUCUCCACUGCUGUUGGAAUCUUACUCACCUUCCGAGGUUCACUUCCAGUGAUAACUCAUUCUUCAAUGAAGAUUUCUUAAUCCUCUUAGCCAAAUGUAAUCACGCUUUCCCCUGAAUGCCCCAGCAUGCUCUCUCUAGCUUCUGGCACCGCUUUAUCCUUGUUAUAGAUGUUCUUAUGCUUGACUAUAAAGUGAUUAGGAUACUUCACUUUCUUGUAAGGGUCUCGGCUCCUUAGGAGAUACUAUGUUGAGCAUUCCAUAUGCUCAGCAAAUGUUUAUUCGCUUGAAAGCACUCGUGGGACGUAGGCAUUAGCAAAGUCCAUGGCCUAAAUGCUUCCUGAGGAACUCAUGAAUUCAUUUGUCAUCUAUCAAGCAUUUACUGAGUGCUUUUAAGUCCUGUGGGUAUAGAGAGAAUUUUAAACAGAGAUCCAACUCUGCAUGAUCUCAUAGCCUAAUCAGACAGCUAAAAUAGAAUAGGAUAGACACAUAAUAAGAAAUCAGAUGAUAAAUAAACACAAGUAUAAAGACUUUGUUAUUGCUGACUAUUAUGUUAUUGCUGACUAUAAUGAAACUCCUUAAAAGAUUCUAUUUUAGUCUUUGUAAAAUCCUAACGUUUAGAUAUAUGAACCCAGCCAUAGUAGCUUAGAAAAAGGAGCAAAGAAUUAGUACUUCCAAAUGCCUACUAAGUGCUAUGCACUAUAUAGACAUUCUCUCAUUGUCAGAAAUAUUGUGGAAUAUUAUUAGCAUCUCCGUUUUAUAGAUGAGGAAAUUUAUUUUAAGAUUUGUUGUGCAACUUGGGGAAGGUUGUACAAUUAGAAGUUCUUAAGCCGGUUUUUAAACCCAGGACUCUGAUAUCAGCUGGCCUGUGCUAUUACUUUCUAGGCAAAGAUCAGACAGCUACCCGAAGGCCUGCAAAUGGCCAACCGUGGUGCAGGUGUCUGUCCUAGGUACUGGAACUAGCGACACGGAGCUGUGGGAAUUUGCCCCUUGGCUGGAAGACCUAGACGUCAGAGGAAUGAGGGAUAUUUGGCCUGGAGACAAUUAGACCUAGAGGAAUUAUUGUACCAAGAAAGUAAUUCCUCUUCUAAGCACUCCUUGCCUGGUGUCUCCGUGCUACGGACGGAGCUCUGACACCUUUGGAAGAUCCUGAAAGAGAAAGAUGACAGAUGAGAAACGUCAGGUCUUCCUACCACCGAGGACUCGUGAGGGGCAUGAUGGAUUUUUGGCAACCAGCCUUCAACCCUAUGAAUGGAAAGUUGGUAGAACUUGUUAGCUCUUGCUUCCGUCUUGGUUCAUCUUUUACCACGGAGGCAAACUGGAGGAAGUAACCUGAGACUCUGGGCUCAUUUUCCUCCCCUGGGUUCAAGUUGGAGAAAACAACGCUAAUUACAUUUCUAACAGCAGCAAAUAAAUUUGAAAGUAAA